RNAcentral lists this ribosomal RNA (253 nucleotides) under uncultured bacterium. RNAcentral describes it as "partial 16S ribosomal RNA". It matches the Rfam family "Bacterial small subunit ribosomal RNA", at positions 524 to 776 of the family's 1533-position model. The record is from RNAcentral.
UACGUAGGUGGCAAGCGUUGUCCGGAUUUACUGGGUGUAAAGGGCGUGUAGCCGGGAAGGCAAGUCAGAUGUGAAAUCCGGAGGCUCAACCUCCGAAUUGCAUUUGAAACUGUUUUUCUUGAGUACUGGAGAGGCAGACGGAAUUCCUAGUGUAGCGGUGAAAUGCGUAGAUAUUAGGAGGAACACCGGUGGCGAAGGCGGCCUGCUGGACUGUGACUGACGUUGAGGCCCGAAGGCGUGGGGAGCAAACAGG